RNAcentral lists this ribosomal RNA (117 nucleotides) under Sinocyclocheilus grahami. Lineage: Eukaryota; Metazoa; Chordata; Actinopteri; Cypriniformes; Cyprinidae. The record is from RNAcentral.
UGCCACAGCCAUAUCGCCCUGCAGCCCAAGACUGGUUGCCCACUGAAGCUAAGCAGGGUUGAGCCUGGUUAGUACCUGGAUGGGAGACCUCCUGGGAAAACUAGGUUGCUGUUGGAA